RNAcentral lists this transfer RNA (65 nucleotides) under Calopteryx splendens (banded demoiselle). RNAcentral's name for it is "tRNA-Asn". The record is from RNAcentral. Lineage: Eukaryota; Metazoa; Arthropoda; Insecta; Odonata; Calopterygidae.
UUAAUUGAAGCCAAAAAGAGGCCUAUCACUGUUAAUGAUAUAAUUGAAAUAAUAUUCCAAUUAAG